This 402-nucleotide long non-coding RNA is filed under the name Rattus norvegicus (Norway rat). RNAcentral describes it as "long non-coding RNA NONRATT004719". Lineage: Eukaryota; Metazoa; Chordata; Mammalia; Rodentia; Muridae. The record is from RNAcentral.
CUUGUUUUUUUUUUUUUUGUUUUGUUUUUUUUUUCUUUCUUCUCACCUGUCCAGAGAACGACCAGAAAAUUCCUGGCUCUGAGCCACUGGGGAAAGGUAAAGAUCCAUAUUCUCCUCUCCAAGGGUGCACGGCGAUGACGCAGGCAGGUAAACAGCUGUCCAGAGGUGCAGGGCCCGGACGUGACACACGGGAUGUAGGACCUGAGGAAGCAGCCGAAUGUUAUUGUUUUAGGGGAGCCCUUGGUUCAUUUUCUUUCCUUGAACAAUUGGCUAGAGUUCUUCUCACUGACUCCGCCUCCUCUCCCUGUAGGAUUUCCAGCAGGGGAAGGGCGCAGCCUUACCAUGUCUGACCCAGGGGUUGUUGGCCAGGAAUGUGCCGUAGAGGCAGGAGUACGUGUGCUG